CAGUAGCCACGGUAAUACGGAGGGAGCUAGCGUUGUUCGGAAUUACUGGGCGUAAAGCGCGCGUAGGCGGUUACUCAAGUCAGAGGUGAAAGCCCGGGGCUCAACCCCGGAACUGCCUUUGAAACUAGGUGACUAGAAUCUUGGAGAGGUCAGUGGAAUUCCGAGUGUAGAGGUGAAAUUCGUAGAUAUUCGGAAGAACACCAGUGGCGAAGGCGACUGACUGGACAAGUAUUGGCGCUGAGGUGCGAAAGCGUGGGGAGCAAACAGGAUUAGAUACCCGAGUAGUCCCUGUCUCUUAUAC
Molecule: ribosomal RNA, 301 nt
Filed under: uncultured bacterium
Lineage: Bacteria
Description: partial 16S ribosomal RNA
Rfam family: Bacterial small subunit ribosomal RNA
Source: RNAcentral